Long non-coding RNA from Anguilla anguilla (European eel), 662 nucleotides. RefSeq lists it as uncharacterized. NCBI's taxonomy places the organism in Eukaryota, Metazoa, Chordata, Actinopteri, Anguilliformes, Anguillidae. The transcript is spliced from 3 exons. The record is from RefSeq and is a predicted model, not a curated record.
CACUGGAGUCUGGCAGGCAGGAUCUGGACAGAGUUUGAACUUUUCUAACUUUAGAUCCUGGAACAGAGGACAGUACUACUGUGAGGCACAGAACAGACUUGGAGCUCAGAAUUCUACUGCUGUGUCAAUCAACACAGAAGUAGGGGAUAGGACAGCGCUUGUGUGGACGGUUGUUGGAAUCACAGUGGCUGUUGCACUCGUUGCUGCUAUUGCGUGUAUGAGAUGGAAGAAGAAAAGUGCACGGAGAGAGAGAGUAGCAGACACACUGGCACUGUAAAAAACGAUUUCCCACCUGGGUAUUCCUGGACCUGGACACCUGGAUCAUGACAACCAUAUCAGCCUUACGGGAUAAGCAAAGGACAGUUUUCUGUACAUGCUGUAUUUUUUAUGAAACUACAAAGUCAGUAGAUCUGUGCUGAACAGAAGACACAAAGCACAGAUACACACAAUGCAAGUUACAGUCAAUUAGUGUGGGCUUCCUGCUAAGUUUAACUCAAUUUCAGUCUUGCUCCAUAUUUUAAUUGGUUAAAAAUAUUGCAGAACAUUCCCCAAUUAACUGCCAUUAGAUUGUACUUGUGUCUGUUGAAAUUUUUUCAUUUCAUUUUGCAAUCCACAAUAUGUUAAAAUAUAAUUCUGUAAUGUAAAUUCUUCAAGUGAUUCUG